Molecule: ribosomal RNA, 372 nt
Filed under: Triticum aestivum (bread wheat)
Lineage: Eukaryota; Viridiplantae; Streptophyta; Magnoliopsida; Poales; Poaceae
Description: partial small subunit ribosomal RNA
Source: RNAcentral
AUGGAAGAAGUCAUCGAAGAAGCACCAUUUGCAGUUGUGCCAAACACAUGCCUUCUUGGUAUAGAAGAACCUGAAUCUGGGUUAGAGGCAAGAAAGGAAGAGGCAUGGAGAGAAGCCAUGGACUCAAAACUCAGGUUAAUCGAGAGCAAUGAAACCUGGGAACUCACUGACUUGCCAAAGGGACAGAAAGCAAUUGGUUUGAAAUGGGUUUACAAACUAAAGAAAGAUCCCGAUGGCAAGGUCAUGAAACAUAAAGCAAGACUGGUUGCGAAGGGCUAUGUUCAGCGUCACGGUGUAGACUACGAGGAGGUCUUCGCCCCUGUUGCACGACUCGAGUCAAUCCGGCUUCUCAUCGCAGUUGCAGCACAAUAG